RNAcentral lists this ribosomal RNA (468 nucleotides) under uncultured bacterium. RNAcentral describes it as "partial 16S ribosomal RNA". It matches the Rfam family "Bacterial small subunit ribosomal RNA", at positions 28 to 507 of the family's 1533-position model. The record is from RNAcentral.
GACGAACGCUGGCGGCGUGCUUAACACAUGCAAGUCGAACGGAAAGGCCCUGCUUUUGUGGGGUGCUCGAGUGGCGAACGGGUGAGUAACACGUGAGUAACCUGCCCUUGACUUUGGGAUAACUUCAGGAAACUGGGGCUAAUACCGGAUAGGAGCUCCUGCUGCAUGGUGGGGGUUGGAAAGUUUCGGCGGUUGGGGAUGGACUCGCGGCUUAUCAGCUUGUUGGUGGGGUAGUGGCUUACCAAGGCUUUGACGGGUAGCCGGCCUGAGAGGGUGACCGGCCACAUUGGGACUGAGAGACGGCCCAGACUCCUACGGGAGGCAGCAGUGGGGAAUAUUGCACAAUGGGCGGAAGCCUGAUGCAGCAACGCCGCGUGCGGGAUGACGGCCUUCGGGUUGUAAACCGCUUUCGCCUGUGACGAAGCGCGAGUGACGGUAAUGGGUAAAGAAGCACCGGCUAACUACGUG